RNAcentral lists this ribosomal RNA (28 nucleotides) under Pleosporales sp. DWS6m1. RNAcentral's name for it is "partial 18S ribosomal RNA". Lineage: Eukaryota; Fungi; Ascomycota; Dothideomycetes; Pleosporales. The record is from RNAcentral.
UGUUCGUAGUGACUGCGGAGGAUCAUUA